RNAcentral lists this ribosomal RNA (253 nucleotides) under uncultured bacterium. RNAcentral describes it as "partial 16S ribosomal RNA". It matches the Rfam family "Bacterial small subunit ribosomal RNA", at positions 524 to 776 of the family's 1533-position model. The record is from RNAcentral.
UACAGAGGUGGCGAGCGUUGUUCGGAUUUACUGGGCGUAAAGCGUGCGUAGGCUGUUCCGUGUGCCGGACGUGAAAUCCCGGGGCUCACCCCCGGAAGUGCGUACGGAACUGCGGAACUAGGGUCCGGGAUGGGAUGUCGGAAUGCAUGGUGUAGCGGUGAAAUGCGUUGAUAUCAUGCAGAACACCGGUGGCGAAGGCGGACAUCUGGAACGGUACCGACGCUGAGGCACGAAAGCGUGGGGAGCAAACAGG